RNAcentral lists this transfer RNA (63 nucleotides) under Lepidurus apus apus. RNAcentral describes it as "tRNA-Gly". Lineage: Eukaryota; Metazoa; Arthropoda; Branchiopoda; Notostraca; Triopsidae. The record is from RNAcentral.
ACUUUUUUAGUAUAAUUGUAUAACUGACUUCCAAUCAGUAGGACCGUAUUUACGGAAAGAGUA